RNAcentral lists this ribosomal RNA (274 nucleotides) under uncultured bacterium. RNAcentral's name for it is "partial 16S ribosomal RNA". It matches the Rfam family "Bacterial small subunit ribosomal RNA", at positions 523 to 796 of the family's 1533-position model. The record is from RNAcentral.
AUACGGAGGGUGCAAGCGUUGUUCGGAAUUACUGGGCGUAAAGCGCGCGUAGGUGGUCUGUUAUGUCAGAUGUGAAAGUCCACGGCUCAACCGUGGAAGUGCAUUUGAAACUGGCAGACUUGAGUACUGGAGGGGGUAGUGGAAUUCCCGGUGUAGAGGUGAAAUUCGUAGAUAUCGGGAGGAAUACCGGUGGCGAAGGCGACUACCUGGCCAGAUACUGACACUGAGGUGCGAAAGCGUGGGGAGCAAACAGGAUUAGAAACCCCUGUAGUCC